RNAcentral lists this ribosomal RNA (491 nucleotides) under Alteromonas litorea. Its description in RNAcentral is "bacterial SSU rRNA". It matches the Rfam family "Bacterial small subunit ribosomal RNA", at positions 37 to 524 of the family's 1533-position model. The record is from RNAcentral. Lineage: Bacteria; Pseudomonadati; Pseudomonadota; Gammaproteobacteria; Alteromonadales; Alteromonadaceae.
CCCGUGGGGGGGGGCUACACAUGCAGUCGAACGGUAACAGGAUUAGCUUGCUAAUCGCUGACGAGUGGCGGACGGGUGAGUAAUGCUUGGGAACUUGCCUUUGCGAGGGGGAUAACAGUUGGAAACGACUGCUAAUACCGCAUAAUGUCUACGGACCAAACGGGGCUUCGGCUCCGGCGCAAAGAGAGGCCCAAGUGAGAUUAGCUAGUUGGUGAGGUAAGAGCUCACCAAGGCGACGAUCUCUAGCUGUUCUGAGAGGAAGAUCAGCCACACUGGGACUGAGACACGGCCCAGACUCCUACGGGAGGCAGCAGUGGGGAAUAUUGCACAAUGGGGGAAACCCUGAUGCAGCCAUGCCGCGUGUGUGAAGAAGGCCUUCGGGUUGUAAAGCACUUUCAGUUGUGAGGAAAAGUUAGUAGUUAAUACCUGCUAGCCGUGACGUUAACAACAGAAGAAGCACCGGCUAACUCCGUGCCAGCAGCCGCGGUAAU